This 216-nucleotide long non-coding RNA is filed under the name Homo sapiens (human). Its description in RNAcentral is "non-protein coding lnc-TRAF5-3:2". Lineage: Eukaryota; Metazoa; Chordata; Mammalia; Primates; Hominidae. The record is from RNAcentral.
GGUGUGUGUGUGUGUGUGUGUGUGUGUGUGUGUGUGUGUGUGUGUAUGCGUGUAUGUAUCCCGCGAGGCUGGAGCCACAGCUUCCCUGAUGAACCAUGGAGGCGGGCCAGCUCCUGAGCUGCGGUUGCCCUGGAGACCCACCUAAGCCUCUUUGCCUGGAGCAGCAUUAUCUGUAGAGGGAGUGGCUGAUCUGACACAAAAGCCUGAGGCGACCCA